UACGUAGGGGGCUAGCGUUGUCCGGAAUCAUUGGGCGUAAAGCGCGUGUAGGCGGCCCGGUAAGUCCGCUGUGAAAGUCGGGGGCUCAACCCUCGGAUGCCGGUGGAUACUGUCGGGCUCGAGUACGGAAGAGGCGAGUGGAAUUCCUGGUGUAGCGGUGAAAUGCGCAGAUAUCAGGAGGAACACCGAUUGCGAAGGCAGCUCGCUGGGACGUGACUGACGCUGAGACGCGAAAGCGUGGGGAGCGAAAGGG
This 253-nucleotide ribosomal RNA is filed under the name uncultured bacterium. RNAcentral's name for it is "partial 16S ribosomal RNA". It matches the Rfam family "Bacterial small subunit ribosomal RNA", at positions 524 to 776 of the family's 1533-position model. The record is from RNAcentral.